UGGAGAGUUUAUCCCUGGCCUCAGGAUGAACGCUGGCGGCGUCCUAAUACAUGCAAGUCGAGCGAAGAGUAAAGCGUGCUUUAUGAAGUUAGCGCGGACGGGUGAGUAAACACGUGGGGAACCGCCCAUAGCUGAGAUAACUCCGGGAAAAACGGGCUAAUACCGGAUAACAUUUGAACCGCAUGGUUCGAAAUUUGAAAGGCGGGCUUCGGCUGUCACUUAUGAUGGACCCGCGUCGCAUUAGCUAGUUGGUGAGGUAACGGCUCACCAAUGCAACGAUGCCGUUAGCCGACCUGAGAGGCGUGAUCGGGCCACACUGGACUGAGGACACGGCCCGGACUCACGGGAGGCAGCAGUAGGAAAUCUUUCCGCAAUGGACGAAAGUCUGACGGAGAAAACGCGCGUUGAGUGAUGAAGGGCUUCGGGUCGUAAACUCUGUUGUUAGGGAAGAACAAGUGCUAGUUGAUAAAGCUAGCACCUUGACGGUACCUAAACCAGAAAGCCACGGCUAACUAGCGUGCCACAGCCGCGUAAUACAGUAGGUGGCAAGCGUUAUCGAAUUAUUGGGCGUAAAGCGCGCGCAGGUGGUUUCUUAAUGUUGAUGUGAAAGCCCACGCUCAACCGUGGAGAUCAUUGGAAACUGGGAGACUUGAGUGCAGAAGGAGGAAAGUGGAAAUUCCAUGUGUAGCGGUGAAUGCGUUAAGAUAUGGAGGAACACCAUUUGGCGGAAGGCGACUUUCUGGUCCUGUAACUAACAUGAAGGCGCGAAAGCGUGGAGCAAACAGGAUUAGAUACCCUGUAGUCCCACGCCGUAAACGAUGAGUGCAGUGUUAGAGGGUUUCGCCCUUAGUUGCUGAAGUUAACGCAUUAAGCACUUCCCGCCUGGGGAUACGGGCCCAAGGUGAAACUCAAAGGAAUUGACGCCGCCUCUCGGGGCCCGCACAAGCGGUGGAAGCAUGUGGUUAAUUUCGAAGCAACGCGAAGAAACCUUACCAGGUCUUGACAUCCUCUGAAAAACCUAGAGAUAGGGGCUUCUCCUUCGGGAGCAGAGUGACAGGUGGUGCAUGGUUGUCGUCAGCUCGUGUCGUGAGAUGUUGGGUAAGUCCCGCAACGAGCGCAACCCUUGAUCUUAGUGCCAUCAUUAAAGUUGGGCACUCUAAGGUGACUGCCGGGACAACCGGAGAGGUGGGGAUGACGUCAAAAUCUCAUGGCCCCUUUAUGACCUGGCUACACACGUGCUAAAUGGACCGGGACAAAGAGCUGCAAGACCGCGAGUGGAGCUAAUCUCAUAAAACCCGUUUCUCAGUCGGAUUGUAGCGCGGGCAACUCGCUACCAUGAAGCUUGGAAUCGCUAGUUAAUCGCGAUCCAGCAUGCCGCGGUGAAACGUUCCCGGGCCUUGUACACACCGCCCGUCACACCACGAAGUUUGUAACACCGAAAGUCGGUGGGGUAACCUUUUUGGAGGCCAGCCGGCCUAAGGUGGACAGAUUGAUUGGGGUGAAGUCGCUAACAAGGUAGCCGCUAUCGGAAGGGUGCGGCUGGAUCACCUCCUUUCU
Molecule: ribosomal RNA, 1557 nt
Filed under: Bacillus sp. UFRGS-B20
Lineage: Bacteria; Bacillati; Bacillota; Bacilli; Caryophanales; Bacillaceae
Description: bacterial SSU rRNA
Rfam family: Bacterial small subunit ribosomal RNA
Source: RNAcentral